UAGUAAAGAAUCCAUCAAAGCAGUACGAUCAUAAAAAGGACAUGAAAAGAAUAUAUGAUUAAUAUCCGCCUCCUCGGCACCACAGUCACAAUUGGGAUCGUUAAUAAAUUUAAAUCGAGCAAGGUCAGAAGGAGCAGAUGUAUGGCCCAAUCUCAUGCGUGUUAAACAUGAUAUUUCACGUCUUUUAAAGUUUUUAUUGUAAAACCACGGCUUUACAGGGAUGUCACUUUGAAUCUUAAGGUAAUAACUUCCGGAUUCCAGGCUGCUCCAAAACCAAAAGAACUCCCAGGCUAACCUGAGAUAUCUUUUGGGGAGCAACAGAAGGUCAUGACAAUAGUUUUUAUAUGGAAAUAUAUCACCAGAAGCAACAGCAUCUACCGCCAGACGAUCAGCCUUCUCAUUUCCGGGAAUUCCACAAUGACUUGGCACCCAUACAAAGUUUACACUUCUGAACAUUCAGAAUCCCACCAUGGAGGGCUGGGAAUAUUGAAUUUAGAGGACUUCUUACGAGGAAAUACUUCAUCAGCUAUAUUAAUUAUAAACUUAGCAAAAGCAUCAGAAGUUUUAAACAAAUUUUCACGAGAUACAUCGGGUAAUUCUCCCAACCUCUCAUCCAUAUGUUUGCGAAACUUAUCCCAAUCUGCAUUUUGAAGUUUAUAUGCUAAAAGUGGAGAUCUUUUAUGUAAUGGUCUGUUUUUAAUAGGAAAAGAAAUGAGAAUUGGAAAAUGAUCACUGCCAUAGGAAAGUGGAAGUACCUCCCACAGUAAGGAGUGUGAUAUGGAAGAGCUACAAAUUGAUAAAUCUAAUGCACUAGGAUUCUCAUUGGGAGCAGACCGACGCGUAGGAACACCAGAAUUCAAUAUACAUAAAUUAUAAUAAUCAA
This is a long non-coding RNA of Cydia amplana, 883 nucleotides long. RefSeq lists it as uncharacterized. Lineage: Eukaryota; Metazoa; Arthropoda; Insecta; Lepidoptera; Tortricidae. The record is from RefSeq and is a predicted model, not a curated record. The transcript is spliced from 2 exons.